AAACCGACACUGGUGGACAAGGACAAAUAUCCUGAGGCGCUCGAGUGAUCCCUCGUUAAGGAACUCGGCAAAAUGACCCCGUAACUUCGGGAGAAGGGGUGCCGGUACUUGAUACCGGCCGCAGAGAAUAGUUCCAGGCGACUGUUUACCAAAAACACAGGGCUCUGCAAAGCAGCAAUGCGAAGUAUAGGGCCUGAAACCUGCCCGGUGCUGGAAGGUUAAGGAAGGAUGUUAGCUUCGGCAAAGCGUCCGACUGAAGCCCCAGUAAACGGCGGCCGUAACAAUAACGGUCCUAAGGUAGCGAAAUUCCUUGUCGGGUAAGUUCCGACCUGCACGAAUGGUUUAACGAUCUGGAAGCUGUCUCAACGAGGGGCUCGGUGAAAUUGAAAUACCGGUGAAGAUGCCGGUUACUCGCGGAAGGACGGAAAGACCCCGUGAACCUUUACUACAACUUGGCAUUGAAAUUUGGUAUAAUAUGUGUAGGAUAGUUGGGAGACUGUGAAGCGGGUACGCUAGUACUCGUGGAGUCGUCGUUGAAAUACCAACCUUAUUCUAUUAGAUUUCUAACCCCACACCGUUAUCCGGGUGGGAGACAAUGUCUGGUGGGUAGUUUGACUGGGGCGGUCGCUUCCUAAAUAGUAACGGAGGCUCGCAAUGGUUCCCUCAGCACGGUCGGUAAUCGUGCGUAGAGUGUAAAGGCUAAAGGGAGCCUAACUGCAAGAGAGACAACUCGAGCAGGUACGAAAGUAGGUCUUAGUGAUCCGGCGGUGUCAUGUGGAAGUGCCGUCGCUCAAAGGAUAAAAGGUACUCCGGGGAUAACAGGCUGAUUCCGCCCAAGAGUUCAUAUCGACGGCGGAGUUUGGCACCUGAUGUCGGCUCAUCGCAUCCUGGGGCUGAAGCAGGUCCCAAGGGUUUGGCUGUUCGCCAAUUAAAGCGGUACGCGAGCUGGGUUCAGAACGUCGCGAGACAGUUCGGUCCCUAUCCUCCGCGAGCGUUGGAAUUUUGAGGAGAUCUGUCCUUAGUACGAGAGGACCGGGAUGGACGAACCUCUAGUGUAUCAGUUGUCGUGCCAACGGCAUUGCUGAGUAGCUAUGUUCGGAAGGGAUAACCGCUGAAGGCAUCUAAGCGGGAAGCCUACUCCAAGACUAGAAUUCCCUCAGGUUUAACCUGACUAAGAUCCGUCGAAGAAUACGACGUUGAUAGGCUGCAGGUAUAAGUACAGUAAUGUAUUCAGCCGAGCAGUACUAAUAGAUCGUGCGGCUUGACC
This 1267-nucleotide ribosomal RNA is filed under the name metagenome. RNAcentral's name for it is "bacterial LSU rRNA". It matches the Rfam family "Bacterial large subunit ribosomal RNA", at positions 1651 to 2925 of the family's 2925-position model. The record is from RNAcentral.